This 468-nucleotide ribosomal RNA is filed under the name uncultured bacterium. RNAcentral's name for it is "partial 16S ribosomal RNA". It matches the Rfam family "Bacterial small subunit ribosomal RNA", at positions 28 to 507 of the family's 1533-position model. The record is from RNAcentral.
GACGAACGCUGGCGGCGUGCUUAACACAUGCAAGUCGAACGGAAAGGCCCUGCUUUUGUGGGGUGCUCGAGUGGCGAACGGGUGAGUAACACGUGAGUAACCUGCCCUUGACUUUGGGAUAACUUCAGGAAACUGGGGCUAAUACCGGAUAGGAGCUCCUGCUGCAUGGCGGGGGUUGGAAAGUUUCGGCGGUUGGGGAUGGACUCGCGGCUUAUCAGCUUGUUGGUGGGGUAGUGGCUUACCAAGGCUUUGACGGGUAGCCGGCCUGAGAGGGUGACCGGCCACAUUGGGACUGAGAUACGGCCCAGACUCCUACGGGAGGUAGCAGUGGGGAAUAUUGCACAAUGGGCGGAAGCCUGAUGCAGCAACGCCGCGUGCGGGAUGACGGCCUUCGGGUUGUAAACCGCUUUCGCCUGUGACGAAGCGUGAGUGACGGUAAUGGGUAAAGAAGCACCGGCUAACUACGUG